Molecule: non-coding RNA, 86 nt
Filed under: unclassified sequences
Source: RNAcentral
UAUCGCUUGCCGCCGGGUAAGUAAAACAGGACGCUAAGUUUCAUAUCAUUAGGCCUUUGAAGAUAUGAAAUUGCAGCGUUUUUUUA